AGUCGAGCGAAGUUUUUAAAGCGGAUCCCUUCGGGGUGAAACUUUAACUGUCUUAGCGGCGGACGGGUGAGUAACGCGUGAGAAACCUGCCUUUCACAAAGGGAUAGCCUCGGGAAACUGGGAUUAAUACCUUAUGAUACUCUUUUCCAGCAUUGGAGAAAAGUCAAAGCGUAAAGCGGUGAAAGAUGGUCUCGCGUCCCAUUAGUUAGUUGGUGAGGUAACGGCUCACCAAGACUGCGAUGGGUAGCCGGCCUGAGAGGGUGAACGGCCACACUGGAACUGAGACACGGUCCAGACUCCUACGGGAGGCAGCAGUGGGGAAUAUUGCACAAUGGAGGAAACUCUGAUGCAGCGACGCCGCGUGAACGAUGAAGGCUUUCGGGUCGUAAAGUUCUGUCCUAGGGGACGAUAAUGACGGUACCCUAGGAGGAAGCCCCGGCUAACUACGUGCCAGCAGCCGCGGUAAUACGUAGGGGGCGAGCGUUGUCCGGAUUUAUUGGGCGUAAAGGGUUCGCAGGCGGUCUCUUAAGUUAGAUGUGAAAGAUCACGGCUCAACCGUGGUAAGCAUUUAAAACUGGGAGACUUGAGUUAAGGAGAGGAAAGUGGAAUUCCUAGUGUAGCGGUGAAAUGCGUAGAUAUUAGGAGGAAUACCAGUGGCGAA
This 661-nucleotide ribosomal RNA is filed under the name uncultured bacterium. RNAcentral's name for it is "bacterial SSU rRNA". It matches the Rfam family "Bacterial small subunit ribosomal RNA", at positions 60 to 719 of the family's 1533-position model. The record is from RNAcentral.